AAAGCAUUUACAAGAAGAAGGAAAGAGGAAAGAAGGCACAAAAAAGAAAAGAAAUAAAAGUAGGGGGCAAAAAGUCAGACCUCCCU
RNAcentral lists this non-coding RNA (86 nucleotides) under uncultured eukaryote. The record is from RNAcentral.